RNAcentral lists this ribosomal RNA (468 nucleotides) under uncultured bacterium. Its description in RNAcentral is "partial 16S ribosomal RNA". It matches the Rfam family "Bacterial small subunit ribosomal RNA", at positions 28 to 507 of the family's 1533-position model. The record is from RNAcentral.
GACGAACGCUGGCGGCGUGCUUAACACAUGCAAGUCGAACGGAAAGGCCCUGCUUUUGUGGGGUGCUCGAGUGGCGAACGGGUGAGUAACACGUGAGUAACCUGCCCUUGGCUUUGGGAUAACUUCAGGAAACUGGGGCUAAUACCGGAUAGGAGCUCCUGCUGCAUGGUGGGGGUUGGAAAGUUUCGGCGGUUGGGGAUGGACUCGCGGCUUAUCAGCUUGUUGGUGGGGUAGUGGCUUACCAAGGCUUCGACGGGUAGCCGGCCUGAGAGGGUGACCGGCCACAUUGGGACUGAGAUACGGCCCAGACUCCUACGGGAGGCAGCAGUGGGGAAUAUUGCACAAUGGGCGGAAGCCUGAUGCAGCAACGCCGCGUGCGGGAUGACGGCCUUCGGGUUGUAAACCGCUUUCGCCUGUGACGAAGCGUGAGUGACGGUAAUGGGUAAAGAAGCACCGGCUAACUACGUG